GCAUAUCAAUAAGCGGAGGAAAAGAAAAUAACAAUGAUUCCCCUAGUAACUGCGAGUGAAGAGGGACAAGCUCAAAUUUUAAAUCUAUCGGGUUUUACCUGAUCGAGUUGUAAUUUGAAGAAGCGUUUUCUGCGUAUUUGAUCAGCCUAAGUCCUAUUGAAUGAGGCAUCAUGGAGGGUGAUAAUCCCGUCCGGUUGAUCAUUUGCGUUUUACGAUACGCUUUCUAAGAGUCAAGUUGUUUGGGAUUGCAGCUUAAAAUGGGAGGUAAAUUUCUCCUAAGGCUAAAUAACGGCGAGAGACCGAUAGCGAACAAGUACCGUGAGGGAAAGAUGAAAAGAACUUUGAAAAGAGAGUUAAACAGUACGUGAAAUUGUUGAAAGGGAAACGAUUGAAGCCAGUCGUACCUUCGGGUAAUCAGCCUUUCGGGUGCGAUUCUGUGGAGUGUGAGGAGUUAAACACCUUCAUGUUUUGCAUAUUCGUACUCUUGGGUGUACUUGCCCGUGUGGUUGGUUAACAUCAAUUUUGGUGGUCAUAAAAUGACUGGAGGAAUGUAGCUUCGAUCUCGUAUUGAAGUGUUAUAGCCUUCGGUAGAUGUGAUGAUCGAGAUUGAGGAUUGCAACGGAUACCCUUCGGGGCUACCUGUCUGAUCUCUGAUCGUUGCUCUGGUGCCGAAAGCUUGCUUACGGUUAUCAAAGUCGAUGGUCAAUAGGUUAGAACGGGUUAAAUUCGUUAAGGAUGUUGACGUAAUGGCUUUAAACGAC
This 761-nucleotide ribosomal RNA is filed under the name Rhizophagus intraradices. RNAcentral describes it as "eukaryotic LSU rRNA". It matches the Rfam family "Eukaryotic large subunit ribosomal RNA", at positions 38 to 648 of the family's 3401-position model. Lineage: Eukaryota; Fungi; Glomeromycota; Glomeromycetes; Glomerales; Glomeraceae. The record is from RNAcentral.